RNAcentral lists this ribosomal RNA (387 nucleotides) under Phascogale tapoatafa (brush-tailed phascogale). RNAcentral describes it as "partial 12S ribosomal RNA". It matches the Rfam family "Bacterial small subunit ribosomal RNA", at positions 794 to 1384 of the family's 1533-position model. Lineage: Eukaryota; Metazoa; Chordata; Mammalia; Dasyuromorphia; Dasyuridae. The record is from RNAcentral.
GCUUAGCCGUAAACCGAGGUAGUUACAUAACAAGACUACCCGCCAGAGAACUACAAGCCACUGCUUAAAACUCAAAGGACUUGGCGGUGCCCUAGACCCUCCUAGAGGAGCCUGUUCUGUAAUCGAUAAACCCCGAUAUACCUCACCUCUCCUAGCUGUCAGUCUAUAUACCGCCAUCGUCAGCUCACCCCAAUAGGGUACAAAAGUGAGCAAGAUCAUGAAACCAUAAAAACGUUAGGUCAAGGUGUAGCAUAUGGAAAGGGAAGUAAUGGGCUACAUUUUCUAUAUUAGAACAUAACGGAUUGCCUGUUGAAACAUAGGCAUGAAGGAGGAUUUAGCAGUAAAUUAAGAAUAGAGAGCUUAAUUGAAAUCGGCAAUGGGGUGCGU